RNAcentral lists this ribosomal RNA (161 nucleotides) under uncultured bacterium. RNAcentral's name for it is "partial 16S rRNA". It matches the Rfam family "Bacterial small subunit ribosomal RNA", at positions 355 to 507 of the family's 1533-position model. The record is from RNAcentral.
UGGGGAAUAUUGGGCAAUGGGCGAAAGCCUGACCCAGCCACGCCGCGUGAGUGAUGAAGGCCUUCGGGUCGUAAAGCUCUGUGGAGGGGGACGAACAAGUGCCUAUUUAAUAGAUAGGUGCCCUGACGGUACCCCUUUAGCAAGCACCGGCUAACUCUGUG